ACCUGCCUGGUAGCGGGGGAUAACUAUUGGAAACGAUAGCUAAUACCGCAUAAUAGUAGAUGUUGCAUGACAUUUGCUUAAAAGGUGCAAUUGCAUCACUACCAGAUGGACCUGCGUUGUAUUAGCUAGUUGGUGGGGUAACGGCUCACCAAGGCGACGAUACAUAGCCGACCUGAGAGGGUGAUCGGCCACACUGGGACUGAGACACGGCCCAG
RNAcentral lists this ribosomal RNA (215 nucleotides) under uncultured Streptococcaceae bacterium. RNAcentral's name for it is "partial 16S ribosomal RNA". It matches the Rfam family "Bacterial small subunit ribosomal RNA", at positions 124 to 334 of the family's 1533-position model. Lineage: Bacteria; Bacillati; Bacillota; Bacilli; Lactobacillales; Streptococcaceae. The record is from RNAcentral.